CACUUUUGUUGGGGAAGAAACCGACCGGAUUAAUACUUCGGUUGAAUGACGGUACCCAAAGAAUAAGCACCGGCUAACUUCGUGCCAGCAGCCGCGGUAAUACGAAGGGUGCAAGCGUUACUCGGAAUUACUGGGCGUAAAGCGUGCGUAGGCGGUUUGUUAAGUCUGUCGUGAAAGCCCCGGGCUCAACCUGGGAAUGGCGAUGGAUACUGGCAAGCUAGAGUGUGUCAGAGGAUGGUGGAAUUCCCGGUGUAGCGGUGAAAUGCGUAGAGAUCGGGAGGAACACCAGUGGCGAAGGCGGCCAUCUGGGACAACACUGACGCUGAGGCACGAAAGCGUGGGGAGCAAACAGGAUUAGAUACCCUGGUAGUCCACGCCCUAAACGAUGC
RNAcentral lists this ribosomal RNA (389 nucleotides) under uncultured bacterium. Its description in RNAcentral is "bacterial SSU rRNA". It matches the Rfam family "Bacterial small subunit ribosomal RNA", at positions 431 to 812 of the family's 1533-position model. The record is from RNAcentral.